RNA transcript from Camelus dromedarius (Arabian camel), 9880 nucleotides. It is a transcript of the gene named replication timing regulatory factor 1, with no coding region annotated. The record is from RefSeq and is a predicted model, not a curated record. The transcript is spliced from 37 exons. Lineage: Eukaryota; Metazoa; Chordata; Mammalia; Artiodactyla; Camelidae.
CUGGGAGGGAGCGGGCCGCACGCGUGAGUAAACAGCCUGAGCCGGGAAAGCCGAGCUCUUGCAGCGUCCGGUUGCUGCGGGGCAGCGGUGGAGAGGACGCAGGCCUGGUCUUCGUACGUGGGGUCCGGGCCUCAGGGUGGCCGACAUGACGGCCCCGGGUCCAAACCCCCUCGCCCCGCUGUUAGAGACUUUGGAAGACCCUUUCGCCUCUCAGGGAGAGCAGACCGACGCUUACCUGACUCUGACCAGUCGUAUGACUGGAGAAGAUGGAAAAGAAAUCAUUGCAGAAAUUGAGAAAAAACUUUCUCGGCUAUUCAAAGCUUUAAAGGCUCACAUUGUCAGUCAAAACUCAGAGCUUAGCAGUGCUGCUCUACAGGCUUUGGGGUUUUGCUUAUAUAAUCCCAAAAUUUCCUCAGGAUUAUCAGAGACAGAUAUUCAAGAACUGCUUUCAAUACUGAAUGAUACUGUUAAGAGUUCAGAUAAAAAUGUACGUACUAGGGCACUUUGGGUGAUAUCCAAGCAGACGUUUCCCGCAGAAGUUGUUGGCAGAGUAGUAUCCAAUAUAAUUGAUUCAUUAGAAAUAGUAUUUAAUAGAGGAGAGACGCAUUCUGCUGUUGUUGAUUAUGAAGCAUUAAAUGUCAUCAUCAGGCUAAUUGAACAAGCCCCAGUUCAAAUGGGAGAAGAGUCAAUUAGGUGGGCAAAACUGGUUAUACCUUUAGUGGUUCAUUCGGCCCAAAAGGUACAUUUGCGAGGAGCGACUGCUCUAGAGAUGGGGAUGCCAUUGUUGCUUCAGAAACAACAAGAAAUAGCAUCUAUCACAGAGCAGCUUAUGACUACUAAAUUACUUUCGGAACUCCAAAAGCUAUUUAUGAGUAAAAAUGAGACUUACGUGUUGAAAUUAUGGCCUUUGUUUGUCAAACUUCUUGGGAAGACCUUGCAUCGAAGUGGGAGUUUCAUCAAUUCUUUAUUACAGUUGGAAGAACUGGGAUUUCGUAGUGGCACACCCAUGAUUAAAAAAAUAGCUUUUAUUGCUUGGAAGAGUUUAAUAGAUAAUUUUGCUUUAAAUCCAGAAAUACUAUGUAGUGCAAAAAGACUGAAGUUAUUAAUGCAGCCUUUGAGUUCCAUCCAUGUGAGAACAGAAACUCUAGCACUGACAAAACUAGAAGUCUGGUGGUAUUUAUUGAUGAGACUAGGACCUCAUCUUCCUGCUAAUUUUGAACAGGUUUGUGUACCUCUGAUUCAAAGCACCAUAAGCAUCGAUUCCAGUCCUUUGCCUCAAGGCAAUUCACCUCGUGUAGCUACUUCUCCAGGUUUAAAUCCUAUGAGUCCUAUACACAAAGGUGCUUCUCCAUAUGGAGCUCCUGUAACUCCCCGGAUGAACUUGAGUUCAAAUUUUGGUGGAAUGGCCACAAUCCCCUCUAUUCAACUUUUGGGGCUUGAAAUGUUGCUUCAUUUUUUAUUGGGUCCGGAAGUCUUGAGUUUUGCCAAGCAAAACAAACUAAUACUGAGCUUAGAGCCACUUGAACAUCCGUUAAUCAGCAGCUCUUCUUUUUUUUUCAAACAUGCAAAUACACUUAUCACUGCUGUUCACGAUAGCUUUGUUGCAGUUGGAAAAGAUGCCUCUGAUGCAGUUAUCAUUGCUAUUUGGAAGGAGCUGAUUAGCUUGGUGAAGUCAGUUAUUGAAUCAGGUAACAAAAAAGAGAGACCAGGUUCUGAAGUUUUGACCCUCUUACUGAAAUCUUUGGAAAGCGUGGUGAAAUCAGAAGUAUUUCCUGUGUCAAAAACACUGGUCCUCAUGGAAAUUACAAUUAAAGGACUUCCUCAGAAAGUAUUAGGUUCUCCAGCAUAUCAGGUUGCUAAUAUGGAUAUUCUUAAUGGAACUCCUGCUUUGUUCUUAAUUCAGUUAAUUUUCAAUAAUAAACUCUUGGAAAAUGGUGUAGAAGAUGAAAGGUUUUUUCUCAACCUGGAAACACUUGUACGCUGUGUUCUUUCUGGUCCAACUUCACCACUAGCUUUCAGUGAUUCUGUCUUAAAUGUUAUUAAUCAAAAUGCAAAGCAGUUGGAAAACAAGGAGUAUCUUUGGAGAAUGUGGAAUAUUAUAGUCACUCCAUUAACUGAAUUGAUUAAUCAGACCAAUGAGGUGAAUCAAGGUGAUGCCUUAGAGCAUAAUUUUAGUGCUAUCUAUGGUGCAUUGACUUUACCAGUAAACCAUAUUUUUUCAGCACAAAAAUUUCCAGCGGCCACCAUGAAGACCUUACUUAAAACUUGGUCAGAAUUAUAUAGAACAUUUGCCCGCUGUGCAGCUUUGGUGGCAACAGCAGAAGAGAAUUUAUGUUGUGAGGAACUUUCUUCCAAGAUAAUGUCCAGUUUGGAAGAGGAAGGCUUUUCAAAUUUGUUGUUCUUGGAUAGGAUCACUCAUAUUAUUACUGUAAUGGUUGAUUGCGUUGACUUUUCACCAUAUAAUGUUAAAUAUCAGCCCAAAAUUAAAUCACCGCAGAGACCUUCAGAUUGGUCCAAAAAGAAGAAGGAGCCCCUAGGGAAAUUGGCUUCUUUAUUUAAACUUAUUGUGAGAGUGAUCGAUUCUUUCCAUACUCUGAGCCUCAAGGAAGUACAUUCUGAUACUCUCCUCGCUAUCGGCAACUCCAUCAUCAGCAUUCUUUCCAGUGUACUUGGACAUGUUUCUUUACCUUCUAUGAUCCGAAAAAUAUUUGCAACUUUAACAAGACCUCUGGCGUUACUGUAUAAAAACUCAAAGCUCGAUGAAGUUCCUAAAGUGUAUAGUUGUAUGAACAACAAGUUAGAAAAGCUGCUGGGAGAAAUUAUUUCUUAUCUACACUUCAGCUGCACUGGAGCUUAUGACAGUGAACUUCUUGAACAGAUCUCGCCAUUAUUAUGCGUAAUAUUUUCACACAAGAAUAAACAGAUUCGAAAACAAAGUGCUCAGUUCUGGAAUGCCACAUUUGCUAAAGUGACAAUGUUGAACUACCCUGAGGAGUUAAAACCAAUACUAAUACAAGCCAAACAAAAAUUUCUGCUUCUGUUGCCUGGUUUGGAAAAUGUUGAGAUUAUGGAGGAAUCCAGUGGACCAUAUUCAGAUGCAACAGAAAAUUCACAAUUAAAUAUGACAAUAAGUGGCAUGGAAAGAAAAUCAAGUGGAAAAAGAGAUUCCUUUUUGGCACAAACAAAGAGUACAAAAGAAAGUGUGAAACUACCUGCCAAAUUGCCACUAGACUCUUCAACUCCAAAACCAAAGAGUGAAAUGCCUUUGGAAGAAGAAAAGUCUACUGACUUUGUGUUUAUACCUCCAGAAGGAAAAGAAGCAAAAGAAAGAAUACUAACUGAACAUCAGAAAGAAGUAUUCAAAACAAAGAGGUGUGAUAUUCCUGCCAUGUAUAAUAAUUUGGAUGUUUCACAAGAUACUUUAUUUUCUCAGUAUAGUCAGGAAGAAUCUAUGGAAAUUCCUACUUUAACUGAAAAAUCAAAGGAAGAUUCCAAGAUGGUACUUAAGGAAGAACAAAAGGAAAGUGACAGUGUCAUGCCUCAACUUGUCAUGGAAAACUGUGGUAUGGAUGAACAUCUUGAAAAGGCUUCCUUUUCGAGUAAUGAGUGUGGUUCUAUUGAGAAAACCAAUCCAGAAAUACUGAGCAGUAAUAAUGAUGCCAGAAAAAAAGCUUUAAUUGCAUCAAAGAAAACGCCGACCGAAUGUGCACCUAGUACAGAAAAUACUUAUGGUGUCAGCAGUAGCUCUAAUGCCACUAUUCCUGGAGCUCCCCCACAGCCUACAAGUCGAAGGCAGUCUUUUAUUACUUUGGAGAAGUUUGAUGGUUCAGAAAAUAGACCUUUUAGUCCAUCCCCCUUGAAUAACAUGGCAUCAACUGUUACAGUGAAAAAUAACCAGGAAGGCACGACUAAAACGGAUAAUCCACCAAAAGCAAGGAAAAGAGAAACGGCUCUUUCAAAAUCUGACUCUGAAAAAAUAGUGCAUGGAAGUAAGAGAUCAGGCCGCAGGUCAAGUAAAGCUGAACAAAUAGGAAAUAAAAAGUCUAAGCCCUUAAUGAAGUCUGAUCAGGCAAAAAGUACUCAGGAAUCUGCUGAUGGCAUGGUAGCCUUAGAAAAUAACCCACCUGAUUUGCUUAAUCAAACAGAAUGUGUGUUAGAUAAUCAGGUUCAUCUCUCUGAAUCUACAGUGGAGUGUGAGGAUAUAAUGCUUAAACCAACAGUAGAAAAUGCUGUGUUAUUAGAAAACAAUACUGUAGAAGAGAAAGCCUUAGAAAUAAAUUUGGAGUCCAAAGAAAAUACACCCCCAGCCAUAAUAACAGCAGAUCAAACAGUAAAUGAGGAUAGUCACAUUCAGAUAACUUCAAAUCAAAAAACCCUUAGACGAUCUUUAAGACGACGUUCAGAAACAACAGAGCCAACCACUGAUAGCCAAGAUAAAGAAAAUAAUCAUCAGAAAAGGGAAAGACGUAAGGAAGAAGAAAAGACUCUUCAGAAAAGUCCACUGCAGGUAAAAGAUGAUUUGUUACCUAAACAAAAACUGAUUUCUGAACAAACUGUACAGGAAAAUUUAAUUGAGAAAGGAAAUAAUUUACAUGAGAAGACUUUUGGGGAAACCAGCACUAACUCUGAAACUGAUGAAAAUAGAAGAAAGCCAGAUCUUGAGAAUACUAAAUCUGAGGGAGAUGGUGCCCAGGACAUUGCAGAUAAAUCCUCUGAGAAAUCAGUAAGGGGACGAACACGAUACCAAACAAGAAGAGCAUCCCAGGGUUUACUUUCCAGCAUUGAAAACUCAGAAUCUGAUAGUUCUGAGGCAAAAGAAGAGAGUUCUAAAAAGAAGAGAUCUGGAAAAUGGAAAAACAGAAGCAAUGACAGUGUUGACAUUGAAGAUCCAGAAGAGAAAAUGGUAAAACAAGAAUGUAUAAAAGUUGAACAUGAAACACAUGAUUAUAAAGUGAAUUUUGAAGUAGACACAGACAUAAAAUCUCAGAUCUGUGAAAAAGAUGAAAAUAAUACUGUAAUUCUUCAAGAUUCUACAGCAUCUUCAGACUUACUACAAGUUUCUGAUGAUGUAGCAGAUACUUACGAGGGAAAAAGUAAAACUAGCAGAUAUUCAGAAAGUCCCUUUUUAAAUCUUCCUGUACCAGAAUCAAAUCUAAGGACUAGAAAUGCCAAUAAGAGAUUGCAUAAGCGCGAUUCUGUAGAAAAUAGUGUGGGGGAAUCUUCAAAAGUAGGGACAGCAGAUAUUUCUUUGCUUUCUGAAAAAACUCUCCAAACACUUGAAUGCCAACACAAGAGAAGUAGGAGGGUGAGGAGAUCUAAGGGUUGCGAUUGCUGUGGAGAAAAAUCACAGCCUCAGGAAAAGUCAGUUGGGUUAAAGGACACAGAAAAUUAUGAUGUAAAGGUCAGUGAAACAAAAAAGACAGAUGUGCGAACACCUGUAACUAUCUCAGAAACUUCUAAAGCUGAUCUGCACUCCGAAGUAAAACUUUUAGAUGAGCAUCAUACUGUGAAUUUUCAUUUAGAUCUCAAGGAGGAGAAUGAUACUACUAAUGAUUCACCAAUUGUGUCUGAAACUGAGCUGAAAGAAAAUACUAUUCAAGACUCUCUUCCUUCUGGAAUGGUAAAUUUUAAAGAAACUUGUGAUAGGAAUUCUAAGGAACCAACAUCUCUUGAAAGUCAGGAGCCAUCCAGUAAAAAAUGUAAAACUAGUGGCCUAUGUUUAGAUGAUACCAAAGAUACUUCACUGGAAUGUUUUACUUUGGAGACCAAAGAAGAAAAGCCAGAGGCUGUCUCAAAAAAGGAAUCGAGUAUAGAGAAUAUUGUUAAUGUUGAAGCAAAUGCAUGUGAAGUAAAAGCAGAAAUGAAUCCAGAAGAAGUAGAUGCUAUGGAAUUGGAUGUUGAAAGUGAUAAAUCUGAAGUUAGCGUCUCUGAACAAAAGAGUGUCAAAACUGGUAUUUCAGAGAAAGAGUUAACUGAGGAAAACAGUGAAAGAAGGGAUGAAUCUGAAGCAGAUGCAGCUGAAGAAGCAGUAACUGAGGAUUCAGGUAUUGGUCAUUCUGAUAAUAGCACACCUGUAAAACUGAGUGCUCAGAUAGAGAUUUCUGAACAGACAGCAGUUGGGGAACUAGACAGAGGAGGUAAUGAAUCUAAUCCAGACUCAUCUGAAGAAAUGAAUGCUGAAAUGGGAAGUUGUGCAGAAACAGUGAUUGGCGAGGUGACUGCUGAAACUGACCAUGUCAGUGAAGCAGAGGACGAGGACUUGACUAUCAAAGCCUCUGAGCCUGUAGAAGCUGAGAUGAAGAGGUUAUAUGUAGAAAUCAAUAACUUUGUUCCCGACACACUUGAGACGAGCACUAAAGAAGGAAACGUUAACUCUAAUAAAACUGAAACAAAUACUGAAUGUAAUGAAUUUGAGGAAACAAAAUUAGAUGACAAUCAAAUGGUAGCAGGAAAUGAUGGAGUUUUACAAGAAGAUCAUCAUACUUCAGAGAAAGUGGAGGAAACAGCACAACCUCUGACUUCUGGAACAGCUGUCUCCGAACUUAUAUCAGAAGACAAUAAUACAUCUCCUCAAAAAUUAGGGGAUCUUGAUCCUUUACUCGCAUCAGCAAAUGACAGUCCUAGUGGCAUGCAAGGACGCUGUGUCUGGUCUCCUUUGGCUUCUCCAUCCACCAGCAUUUUAAAGAGAGGACUAAAAAGAUCCCAAGAAGAUGAGAUCUCAUCACCUGUUCACAAGGUUCGCCGUGUCUCCUUUGCAGAUCCAAUAUACCAAGCAGGAUUGGCAGAUGACAUUGAUAGACGAUGCUCUACUGUUAGGUGCCAUUCUUCAAAUAGUUCUCCCAUGGUAAAAAGUGUUAAAACUUCACCUACUGCACAGUAUAAGCAUAAUACCACUUCAGCCAAAGGAUUUCUGUCCCCAGGAUCACGUAGCCCUAAAUUUAAGAGCUCAAAGAAGUGUUUAAUUGUAGAGAUGGCUAAGGAAUAUAUGCCAUGCCCAACAGAAAGCAUUUACCCUGCCUUGAUGAACUGUGUGGCACCGGUUGACAUCAUUUUACCUCAGAUUACGUCCAACAUGUGGGCGAGAGGACUGGGACAACUCAUCAGAGCCAAGAAUAUAAAAACAAUUGGUGAUUUGAGUACUCUUACAGCAUCUGAAAUAAAAACUCUUCCUAUACGUUCUCCUAAAGUGUCUAAUGUAAAAAAGGCUCUCAGACUAUAUCAUGAGCAGCAGGUGAAGUCUCGUGGACUAGAAGAGAUUCCAGUUUUUGAUAUUUCCGAAAAAACAAUGAAUGGAAUGGAAAAUAAAUCUCUCUCUCUUGAUGAAGAAAGACUUGCCUCAGAUUUAAUUGAUCCUGUUGCUUUAGAGAGUCCACUGUCAAAAAAUCUUCUGGCACAGAUUAGUGCACUAGCUCUUCAAAUGGAUUCAGAAGAUCUCCAUAAUUACUCAGGAAGCCAAUUAUUUGAAAUGCAUGAGAAACUUGGUAGCAUGGCAAACUCUAUAAUCAAAAAUUUGCAGUCACGUUGGAGGUCACCAGCCCACGAAAAUUCUAUUUAGUAUUCUAAGAGAAAAUUUAAGUUUAAAAAAAAAUCACUGAUAUACUGAUUUCAUAAAAUAAGUUCUGGUAAUAUAGCACAAUUUCAGACUGAACAAUUGCGAAGUUGGUAACAUUUCAAACUCUGAAAGUCAAAUGAUUUAUUCAGUUAUUACAGGAUAUUGAAUUUUGUUCCCUAUGUUAAACAGUAAGUUCUUGUUACUUAUUAUUUUAUGUAUAGUAGUGUGAAUCUUAAUCCUAUACUCCUAAUUUAUCCCUCCCCCUCCUUGCCUUUCUCCUUUGGCAACUGCAAGUUUGUUUUCUAUGUCUGUGAGUCUGUUCAUUUGUAUUUUUUAGAUUCCACAUAGAAGUGAUAUUUGUCUUUGAUUUCACUUAGUAUGAUAUUAUCUAGGUCCAUCCAUGUUGCUGCAAAUGGCAAUAUUUCAUUCUUUUUUAUGGCUGAGGAAUAAAAAAAAAUAUACACACACACAUACACAUCUUGAACUCAUCAUCUGUUCAUGGGCAUUUGGGUUGUUUUCAUGUCUUGGCUAUUGUAACUAGUGUUGCUUUGAACAUUGAGGUGUAUGUAUCCUUUCCAAUUAGAGUUUUGUCUUUUCCAGAUGUGUGCCCAGGAGUUGGCUUGCUGGAUUAUAAGGUAACUCUAUUAUUAGUUUUUUAAGGAACCUUCGUACUGUUUUCCAUAGUAGAUGUAGCAGUUUACAUUCCCCCUACAACAGUGUACAAGGGUUCCCUUUUCUCCACACCCUCUCCAGCAUUUAUUAGUUGUAGACUUUUUUUAUGAAGGCCAUUCUGACGGUGUAAGGUGAUACUUCAUUGUGGUUUUGAUUUGCAUUCCUCUAAUAAUUAGCAGUGUUAAGCAUCUUUUCAUGUACCUGUUGGUCAUCUCUGUCUUCUGUCGGAGAAAUGUCUUAUUUAAGUCUUAUGCCAUUUUUUUGAUUGGGUUGUUUGGGGCUUUUUUGAUAUUGAGCUGUAUGAGCUGUUUGUGUAUUUUGGAAAUUAACCCCUUGUAGGUCACAUCAUUUGCAGAUUAUUUUCUCCCAAUCUGUAGGUUGUCUUUAUUUUGAUGGUUUCCUUUCCUAUGCAAAAACUUUUAAGUUUGAUAGAUCCCCAUUUGUUCAUUUCUGCUUUUAUUUCUUUUUGUCUUGGGAGAUUGUACAUCCAUACUUUAAGAGAAAAAAAUGUAAAAUAGACCUAGUCAUGUUGAAACAUACUGUGUUAGUUUACUGUGGCUGCUGUAACAGCCAGAGAGUGCCUUAAAUAACAAAUGUAUUGUCUUGUUCUGGAAGCUAGAAGUUUAAGAUAAGGUAUCCACAAGGGUUGGUUCUGAGGACUGUGAAGAAGGCUGUUACAUGCCUCUCGCCUAGCUUCUGGUGGUUUGCUGUCAAUUUUUGGCUUUCCUGGCAUGUAAAAGCAUCACCCCAAUCUCUGCCUUCAUUUCCACAUGCAUUCUCAGCUAGUGUACUAGCUGUGAGUCUCAGAGAGACACACGUUAAGAAGUUUGAGGAUAGCAGUAUUACUACAGCUCUAAAGUAACAUGGACAGAACUUCUGCUUUUUAGAAAGGAUACCCUAUAAACUUGAGCAUUAAGCCGUUAUUGGUUGGCACUCCACCCUUUGUCCAUUUAAUGCCUUUGCCACAAACUGCUAGCCCACUGAUAAAAGACAUGGAAGAUCCCUUGAGGUUAGCAUUGGUUUCUAAAACUUUCUUUUGCAGGAACUUAACGUUAAUUUUAUUGUAUUUUUCAUUUUAUUGUGUAAUGUUGCUAAAUGUGUUUAGUAUCCCUUAAUUUUACUUAAAACUAAAACUUUAUGAGCCAAGCUAUACAGGAAGCUUGCUGAACACAAAUAUGGAUAGUUUUGAGAACAGCUACACUUGUGCAUUUUUAACAGUGCAUUUUUUUUAAGUUUAAUUUUUUUUAGUGAAGUCUAGUGUAAGGGAUUUGCUUUGAUGAAGUUUUUAUCAUCUGUAGAUCUUAAAAUUAAUAAAAUAAGGCUCAUUCCAUCAGUGGUAUUUGUUGCAGAAUUACAGAUUUUAUUAGUUACUAGCUUAUUACCAGUUUACAUUGACUCAGCUUUAGAACGUCAGAACUGGCUUAGAAAUAAAAGCAUCAGCAGUCAGUAAGCAGGGAAACGGUGACUAUCUGCUAUUUGUUUUUUUUUUUUUUUUAAAUGUGUUUAACAUGAUCAGAACCCUUGUUUUAGAGAAGAAAUAAUGUUAAACAACAUUUUUAUAAUGUAGAAACACUCUGGGUUGAUACAGCAAUAAUUAACAGUGCAGAAACUUUUAAAAUGUCUGUUUGGAAAUUAAACUUUAAAACCCAAAGGAAA